UACAGAGGUCCCAAGCGUUGUUCGGAUUCAUUGGGCGUAAAGGGUGCGUAGGCGGCGAAGUAAGUCAGGUGUGAAAUCCCGGGGCUCAACCCCGGAACUGCACUUGAUACUGCUUUGCUUGAGGACUGGAGAGGAGAUCGGAAUUCACGGUGUAGCAGUGAAAUGCGUAGAUAUCGUGAGGAAGGCCAGUGGCGAAGGCGGAUCUCUGGACAGUUCCUGACGCUGAGGCACGAAGGCCAGGGGAGCAAACGG
Molecule: ribosomal RNA, 252 nt
Filed under: uncultured bacterium
Lineage: Bacteria
Description: partial 16S ribosomal RNA
Rfam family: Bacterial small subunit ribosomal RNA
Source: RNAcentral